UCUCAACCAUGCUAGCCUAGAAUCCAC
This 27-nucleotide non-coding RNA is filed under the name Rattus norvegicus (Norway rat). The record is from RNAcentral. Lineage: Eukaryota; Metazoa; Chordata; Mammalia; Rodentia; Muridae.